CGACCAGCUAAACCCGUACGGCUGGCUGUGUCUGUGUGCGUGCGUCAUCAAAUGAAAACGUCAAAAUUUCGAUUUGUUUACAUACGCGUACGGGAUGCGUACGGGGCAAGUUCGGACUCAUUUCUUUUAAACUUUUCGCACGUACUCUCUUAUCAGUAAAGCAUGCUAUCUACUGUAAGGGUGGUAAGCUACGGCCGAGCAAGAUACAGAAAUCGGACACCACUUGCUACGAGUGGGCACAUAACAAAUUCUUCAACAAAUUCGAAGCGCGGGGCUAGACAACGACAUCCGUGGCACGAACCUUUACCGGUUUCCCCAAUUUCUUGGCUUCACGGAUGACAUCGACAUCAUCGGCAGGACAACAGUGAAGGUGUGUGAGGCGUACACCCGACUCAAACGCAAAGCAGCAAGAAUUGGAUUGAGAAUCAAUGCAACGAAGUAGCUGCUUGCCGGUGACUCAGACCAUCUGGGAAGCAGUGUAUUAGUUGACGGCGACAAUCUCGAGGUAGUAAAGGAGUUCUGCUAGCUCGGGACGGUCGUUACUUCGGACAACGACUUCAGCAGCAUACAUCCGGAGACGCAUUGUGCAGGGGAACCGUACAUGCUAUGGGCUUCACCGACCGGUGGUUCUCUACGGACACGAGUAUUGGACCAUCCGAGCGGAGGAUGCAAACGCUCUGGGUGUGUUUUGAGCCACACAUCCUCUGGUGCAUCUUUGGCGGUGUGUUCGAGUAUGGAGCGUGGAGGAGAGGGAUGAACCACGAGCUUGCUGAGCUGUACGGCGAACCGAGCAUCCCAACGGUGGCCAAGGCUGGGGCAUGUUAUGAGGAUGCCACACUUAUGCCCCAUCAAUAAGGUGUUCGACAGCGAUCCCCAUAUCAGCAUACGGCGCAGAGGAGCACAGCGAACUCGAUGGCUGAAUCAGGUGAAACGAGACCUGUCGAAGAUCGGGUGUCUACAUGGAUGGGAGGCUGCAGCCAGGGACCGAGCAUUCUGAAGAAUGAUUGUUGACCGGUCCAUGUCACACCGACGUGCUCUAUCGUGAGCAAGCCAGCAAGAGAGAUAGAGAGCUACGGCCGAGCAAGAUACAGAAAUCGGACACCACUUGCUACGAGGGAGCUCAUGAACACCAACUACUGCACAAGAUGCUUCCCAACUUUGUUAUGCUUUCACAACGCCAAUAGAACGAGAAGAAAAAAAGAAAAUUUGCUGAAGAACUGACUUAAUGUUCAGCGACAAAAAGUACGAGAUCCGGCCAAUGAGAGACAUCAGAGUUUCGAGUGGUUGCGAGUAGCUGCGACUGUCCGCACUCAGCACCGGCUGCCCGUCGACACCGGGCGUACCGUCGAAGUUCGUCUCGAGCAGCGCUUCCGAUUUGGACCGUGCGUAGUUCGACCGCGACCCGCCGGCCGGUGGCAUCGAUGGCGCUGGGUCCAGCUGUUCGCCGGACGAUUCGUACAGUGUCUUGGGCCGCUGCUGCUGCUGGCUGUCGGUGCGUGGCGGUGGCAGUAUGGAGUCACGCUCCCGGCCCGGUGUGGCGUACUUCUUGACCGCCUUGAUGUACGAAUCCGGCCGGCGCAUCUGCUCCGGCUCGGGCGGUGCUGGCCGGCGCACCUGUAUCGACGGUUGCUGGUACACGUGACCCAUCGGUGGGACGACUGGCGGCGCUGGCCUUGCCGGUGGGCUUCGCUGCACACUGUACGGGAUGGCGGCACCGUUCACACCGCCGACCAGUGAUUCGGUUUGCGAGCUGCGGGCAGGCUGAAAGCUGCUGUGGCUGACGGAAGCGGUCGGCGGUUCGUAUUCGGGCAGAUGCUGCUUCAGCUCGUGCAGGAAGGAAAGCUUGUCCUGCACGCGCAUUGGCAGUGUGCUCGAGUUGCCGUAGUAGUCGGAGCCGGUCUCUUCCAGCAUCUCCUCCUCGCCGCCCGGCGCAUGGAUGAUGGGCGACUCCUCGUUGAUGGCAGUGCUGAGCGAGUUUUGGCGCGUCACGCCCGAGUAGGUGGUGGACGUGUCCCGGAAGCCUUCGUUGCGGAAGGCAAGCUCCAGCGCGAUGCUACCCCCGUGGCUGCUGUACUCGGGCAAACCGUACACUUUGGUUUUGGCCGGGGCGGCACCGUUCGCCUGGCUCGCCUGGAUGUACUCCGAUGGGGCGCCGUUGCUUUCGCUGUAACCGAGCUGGCUUUUCAGCUGCUCGGCGUACUCGUUGCUGUACUGCUGCUUCUGCUUUUGAUCGUACACGUCGUAGCUGGUUUCGGUGCUGAGCACGCUCUUGUCGACGGACUCGAUCGAACCGUUCGAGGCCAUCCGUUUGUAGUCGUUCGUUGUGGCUGUUCGCAGUGUGUCGGUCGAUCGUGACAUUGCCUGGUAGAGAAACGGGGAGAGGUGCAAAAGCACAGAUAAAGUAUAAGAAAUGUUGAGCAAUUAUAGGCAUUUUAAACCUCCUAAUGGGGAAACAAACGAACAAGCAAAACAGUAAAAACACGCGCAAACAUUCCAUAAUAACAGCAAAGCCGUAAGACGAACAACAUUUGCACAGCAAAACACAAAACCAUUCACUUACGACAAACGUUAAACUGCUGUUGGCUACACCACCGUUUGAGCAAAAACAAAAAUGAGUUUAGUGAUAUAAAUUAGCAUUCUUAGACGUCCACACACCGACCAUGAAUUGUCUUAAAGUGGCUGAAAAUCCCCACAACACUGCUCCCGGCACGAUAAAGCACUACUUACAUAAUUUCUUCUGCGAAGCGACCCCUGCGGAUCAAUACUGUUCAGGCUGCGCAUGCUCUGGCGAAUGCUGUUGCGUCGCUGCAGCCGUUGCGCCUGGCGGUAGCGUGACUUCUGGCACCAGCAAACACACACGAUGCAGAUCAGCACAAUGACCAGCGCCAGCGCGACAAUGAUUCCGAUCACCUCGAUGCUGGCCGUCCAGUGCAGUGGAUCAAUCUCCACCUGGAAAGCGAAAGGAAGAGUUCAGUUAGCUUUGGAUCCUUUUUUGCUUAAACGCUGCUGCCAUCCCAUCCCUACCUUUGGAUCGAUUUCGCACAGGAACGCGUGCCGAUUGUGGCACUCCUCCACCUCCACGCUCUGGUACAGGAAGGAGGUGCAGCGAUCGAUGUAGUUCGCAUCCUGCACCCAAACCCGCUCAUAGUUGCGCAGAUAGCGUGACUGCUGCUCGAUAAACAUCCACAGCGCGUUGGCAUCGCCACUGAUGAACGGCAGCGAGGCAUUGUCCGAUCGGCAGAAGUCACGCGCCUCCCGGAAGCUCAUCGGUGCACCGACGUACAUGUAGCAGGUAUCGAUGAGCAGUGUCCAGCCGGGCGGGCACUUCCCGUCCAGCACCGUCAGAUUGUUCAUGUGCAGCGGCAGGAAGGACACCUCCAGCAGCUGCGGAUCGUCGAAGCGAUCGCGGAUGCGCGAGCUAACCGCGAGCGUUUCGUUGUAGCUCCAGUAGUUGUGCCGGGCGUCGAUUUUCGUCUUCCACACGUCCAGCGUGCUGUUGAGAGGGGUGCAGUAAUGCGUUUAGUAAUUGUGAUUUUGAUUAAUUUACGUCUAAAUACACACACGAUUGCUAAGAAACUAUGAAGUAAGCGAGCCAACACCAAUUUGCGAAUGAGCGAAACAAACAAAAAACAGUAAAUAUACACAACUGCACCUUACCUAUUCCAGUACUGGAAGUCAAUUCUGCCAGGACGCACGAUUGACGCACGGUUAGCGCAGAGUUGCAGCAGUUGCAGGAGUGGGUUGGAGGUUUUGUUUUUUUUUUUAGAGAAAUACAGACAGGGAAGGAGUAAGAGAAAUAACGAUCAUCAAAAUAGCAUGCAAAUUUGGAACAAAUAAAUACAAACAAACAAACGCCAAAA
Long non-coding RNA from Anopheles gambiae (African malaria mosquito), 3860 nucleotides. RefSeq lists it as uncharacterized. NCBI's taxonomy places the organism in Eukaryota, Metazoa, Arthropoda, Insecta, Diptera, Culicidae. The record is from RefSeq and is a predicted model, not a curated record. The transcript is spliced from 3 exons.